CCUCUUCUGGCAUAAGCCUUUGUGUAAUUUUUAUCUAAAGCAAGUGCUAAAUUGCAAUCAGAUUCUGCAACAGAAAACUUUUUCAUUCUAUAAAAAGCAGAUGCUCUGUUUGUGGGCAAUACUGGAUUGAAUGGAUCAGAAUGCAUCCCUCUAGUGUAGCAUUUUAUAGCUUCAUCAAAGUUUCCUUGUUUAAAGUAUUUGUUACCCUUUUCCUUCUCCGCAAGAGCCUUUUCUUUAUCUAUAUGAAUUCCAUCUUCUUCAGAGUCUGAUUCUGGAGAUACAGAAUCAUGAGUACUAUCGUCUUUAUCAAGUUCUUCCAGUAUCUUAUCCACAUCAAGUUUUCCCCAAGCUUCAUAAUCAUAAGACUUGAUCUUGUUUUUCUUGUUUUCCUCAGUGGUUGUCUUUGAUGGGACUUUAGUCUUGCUUUUCUUCUUUUUCUUAAAAGUCUUGUUUCGAAUGGGUGGUAAAUUCUCUUCUGAGACACCACUCUGUUUCCUUAAUUCUGAAUCAACUUCUUUAAUAUCCUUUUCCCAGCUCUCUAAUUCCCUCAUAAAAUCC
This 558-nucleotide long non-coding RNA is filed under the name Gallus gallus (chicken). The record is from RNAcentral. Lineage: Eukaryota; Metazoa; Chordata; Aves; Galliformes; Phasianidae.